UACACAUGCAAGUCGAGCGAGACCUUCGGGUCUAGCGGCGGACGGGUGAGUAACGCGUGGGAACGUGCCCUUCUCUACGGAAUAGCCCCGGGAAACUGGGAGUAAUACCGUAUACGCCCUUUGGGGGAAAGAUUUAUCGGAGAAGGAUCGGCCCGCGUUGGAUUAGGUAGUUGGUGGGGUAAUGGCCCACCAAGCCGACGAUCCAUAGCUGGUUUGAGAGGAUGAUCAGCCACACUGGGACUGAGACACGGCCCAGACUCCUACGGGAGGCAGCAGUGGGGAAUCUUAGACAAUGGGGGCAACCCUGAUCUAGCCAUGCCGCGUGAGUGAUGAAGGCCUUAGGGUUGUAAAGCUCUUUCAGCUGGGAAGAUAAUGACGGUACCAGCAGAAGAAGCCCCGGCUAACUCCGUGCCAGCAGCCGCGGUAAUACGGAGGGGGCUAGCGUUGUUCGGAAUUACUGGGCGUAAAGCGCACGUAGGCGGACUGGAAAGUCAGAGGUGAAAUCC
This 506-nucleotide ribosomal RNA is filed under the name unidentified microorganism. RNAcentral's name for it is "bacterial SSU rRNA". It matches the Rfam family "Bacterial small subunit ribosomal RNA", at positions 50 to 602 of the family's 1533-position model. The record is from RNAcentral.